GCAAACCGGGAGAACUGAAACAUCUAAGUACCCCGAGGAAAAGAAAUCAACCGAGAUUUUGUAAGUAGCGGCGAGCGAAAGCGAAAGAGCCAGUGAGUGAUAGCAGCAAAGACAGAAGAAUUGGCUGGGAAGCCAAGCGACACAGGGUGAUAGCCCCGUAUUCGAAGUUUUUGUUGUGGUACUAAGCUUGCAACAAGUAGGGCGGGACACGAGAAAUCCUGUUUGAAGAUGGGGGGACCAUCCUCCAAGGCUAAAUACUCCUGAUUGACCGAUAGUGAACCAGUACUGUGAAGGAAAGGCGAAAAGAACCCCAGUGAGGGGAGUGAAAUAGAACCUGAAACCGUGUACGUACAAGCAGUGGGAGCCCUUUGGGGUGACUGCGUACCUUUUGUAUAAUGGGUCAGCGACUUAUAUUUUGUAGCGAGGUUAACUGAAUAAGGGAGCCGAAGGGAAACCGAGUCUUAACUGGGCGGCUAGUUGCAAGGUAUAGACCCGAAACCCGGUGAUCUAGCCAUGGGCAGGUUGAAGGUUGGGUAACACUAACUGGAGGACCGAACCGACUAAUGUUGAAAAAUUAGCGGAUGACUUGUGGCUGGGGGUGAAAGGCCAAUCAAACCGGGAGAUAGCUGGUUCUCCCCGAAAUCUAUUUAGGUAGAGCCUUAUGUGAAUACCUUCGGGGGUAGAGCACUGUUUCGGCUAGGGGUCCAUCCCGGAUUACCAACCCGAUGCAAACUGCGAAUACCGAAGAGUAAUGCAUAGGAGACACACGGUGGGUGCUAACGUCCAUCGUGGAGAGGGAAACAACCCAGACCGCCAGCUAAGGUCCCAAAGUCUAUAUUAAGUGGGAAACGAAGUGGGAAGGCUUAGACAGCUAGGAUGUUGGCUUAGAAGCAGCCA
This 897-nucleotide ribosomal RNA is filed under the name Glaesserella parasuis. Its description in RNAcentral is "partial 23S ribosomal RNA". It matches the Rfam family "Bacterial large subunit ribosomal RNA", at positions 179 to 1118 of the family's 2925-position model. Lineage: Bacteria; Pseudomonadati; Pseudomonadota; Gammaproteobacteria; Pasteurellales; Pasteurellaceae. The record is from RNAcentral.